GUGAAUCAUCGAAUCUUUGAACGCAAAUUGCACUCUCUGGUAUUCCUGAGAGUAUGCCUGUUUGAGGGUCAGUUAAAAUAAAAAUCGGUGUGGUUGCUGCCUUUCGUGGUGACGCACCGUAUGUGUGUCGUCUUGCCUUUGGUUAAUUUACCUAAAAUUUUGUUUGAGUUUUUCGAACGUAUUUAAAUGAUUUUACGUACGCUUCUGAUAUCAAGUACUAGGUCCGGUCAUCCUCAUGAUCC
Molecule: unclassified non-coding RNA, 242 nt
Filed under: Glomus sp.
Lineage: Eukaryota; Fungi; Glomeromycota; Glomeromycetes; Glomerales; Glomeraceae
Description: partial contains 5.8S ribosomal RNA and internal transcribed spacer 2
Rfam family: 5.8S ribosomal RNA (bases 1-71)
Source: RNAcentral